CCCUUAGAUGUUCUGGGCGGCCCGCGCACUACAAUGGCGCUUUCAGCGAGUUCCUAUGUUGAAUUUUCCUGGGUAUUCUUGGAAGCGGCGUCUUGGCUUGGGAUAGAUCCUUGUAAUUGUUGGUUUUGAACGAGGAAUUCCUUGUAAUCGCGGUUGAUCAGCUCGCGUUGAAUACGUCCCUGCCCUUUGUACACACCGCCCGUCGCUCCUACCGAUGAAUCGUCCGGUGAAGUUCACAGAGUGGCGGUUCGUGGAGUUGCUCGCGAAGUGAAAUGGACCUCACGAUUUAGAGGAAGGAGAAGUCGUAACA
Molecule: ribosomal RNA, 310 nt
Filed under: uncultured eukaryote
Lineage: Eukaryota
Description: partial 18S ribosomal RNA
Rfam family: Eukaryotic small subunit ribosomal RNA
Source: RNAcentral